This 254-nucleotide ribosomal RNA is filed under the name uncultured bacterium. Its description in RNAcentral is "partial 16S ribosomal RNA". It matches the Rfam family "Bacterial small subunit ribosomal RNA", at positions 524 to 776 of the family's 1533-position model. The record is from RNAcentral.
CACGUAGGGUGCGAGCGUUGUCCGGAAUUAUUGGGCGGAAAGAGCUCGUAGGCGGUGUGUCGCGUCGGCCGUGAAAACCUGCAGCUUAACUGUGGGCUUGCGGUCGAUACGGGCAUCACUGGAGUUCGGCAGGGGAGACUGGAAUUCCUGGUGUAGCGGUGAAAUGCGCAGAUAUCAGGAGGAACACCGGUGGCGAAGGCGGGUCUCUGGGCCGAUACUGACGCUGAGGAGCGAAAGCGUGGGGAGCGAACGGG